RNAcentral lists this ribosomal RNA (464 nucleotides) under Vreelandella stevensii. RNAcentral's name for it is "partial 16S ribosomal RNA". It matches the Rfam family "Bacterial small subunit ribosomal RNA", at positions 338 to 795 of the family's 1533-position model. Lineage: Bacteria; Pseudomonadati; Pseudomonadota; Gammaproteobacteria; Oceanospirillales; Halomonadaceae. The record is from RNAcentral.
CCUACGGAGGCAGCAGUGGGGAAUAUUGGACAAUGGGCGAAAGCCUGAUCCAGCCAUGCCGCGUGUGUGAAGAAGGCCUUCGGGUUGUAAAGCACUUUCAGUGGGGAAGAAAGCCUUGGGGCUAAUACCCUCGAGGAAGGACAUCACCCACAGAAGAAGCACCGGCUAACUCCGUGCCAGCAGCCGCGGUAAUACGGAGGGUGCGAGCGUUAAUCGGAAUUACUGGGCGUAAAGCGCGCGUAGGCGGUCUGAUAAGCCGGUUGUGAAAGCCCCGGGCUCAACCUGGGAACGGCAUCCGGAACUGUCAGGCUAGAGUGCAGGAGAGGAAGGUAGAAUCCCCGGUGUAGCGGUGAAAUGCGUAGAGAUCGGGAGGAAUACCAGUGGCGAAGGCGGCCUUCUGGACUGACACUGACGCUGAGGUGCGAAAGCGUGGGUAGCAAACAGGAUUAGAUACCCCGGUAGUC